AACGAACGCUGGCGGCAUGCCUAACACAUGCAAGUCGAACGAGACCUUCGGGUCUAGUGGCGCACGGGUGCGUAACGCGUGGGAACCUGCCCUUAGGUUCGGAAUAACUCCCCGAAAGGGGUGCUAAUACCGGAUAAUGUCUUCGGACCAAAGAUUUAUCGCCUUUGGAUGGGCCCGCGUUGGAUUAGCUAGUUGGUAGGGUAAAAGCCUACCAAGGCGACGAUCCAUAGCUGGUCUGAGAGGAUGAUCAGCCCCACUGGGACUGAGACACGGCCCAGACUCCUACGGGAGGCAGCAGUGGGGAAUAUUGGACAAUGGGCGAAAGACUGAUCCGGCAAUGCCGCGUGAGUGAUGAAGGCCUUAGGGUUGUAAAGCUCUUUUACCCGGGAUGAUAAUGACAGUACCGGGAGAAUAAGCUCCGGCUAACUCCGUG
This 433-nucleotide ribosomal RNA is filed under the name uncultured bacterium. RNAcentral's name for it is "partial 16S ribosomal RNA". It matches the Rfam family "Bacterial small subunit ribosomal RNA", at positions 29 to 507 of the family's 1533-position model. The record is from RNAcentral.